This 332-nucleotide RNase P RNA is filed under the name human gut metagenome. Its description in RNAcentral is "Bacterial RNase P class A". It matches the Rfam family "Bacterial RNase P class A". Rfam says of the family: Ribonuclease P (RNase P) is a ubiquitous endoribonuclease, found in archaea, bacteria and eukarya as well as chloroplasts and mitochondria. The record is from RNAcentral.
AGAACAAGUGACCGCGGCUGUUUGAUACAGGUGAGGAAAGUCCGGGCUUCAUAGGGCAGGAUGCCGGAUAACGUCCGGUGGAGGUGACUCCAAGGCCAGUGCAACAGAAAUAUACCGCCUCCCAUGCGGAGGUAAGGGUGGAAGGGCAGUGUAAGAGACUACCGCCUGCAUGGUAACAUACAGGGCACAUGUAAACCCCAUUCGAAGCAAGACCAAAAAGAAAGCAUGAGGCUUGCCCGGCCAGCUUUCAGGUGGGUCGCUCGAGACUAUUGGCAACAGUAGUCCUAGAUAGAUGGUCACUCAACGACAUAACCCGGCUUAUCGUUCUGCUU